Ixodes scapularis (black-legged tick) is the source of this 817-nucleotide long non-coding RNA. RefSeq lists it as uncharacterized. The record is from RefSeq and is a predicted model, not a curated record. Lineage: Eukaryota; Metazoa; Arthropoda; Arachnida; Ixodida; Ixodidae. The transcript is spliced from 6 exons.
CGGCGCGGCGUCUUUGAAGCGGCUUGGCAGGUGCCUGUGUCGGCGUGUUUCGCUACGCAUUUUACGUCGAGUGCACCUUUAACCUGCGGAACUGGUGCGGAAUCUCGGAGGUGAAGUCCAGUGCACGAUUCCAGACAUUGACCCUGCUGAUGCGUCCGUGGAAGCCACUGCCAGCGGUUGCUUUGUCUUCUUCAUUGAGAGGGGCGCCCAGGCUGACCCAUCCGCUGCAAACCAAGUUUUUCCUUUUGAGAGGUUCCCAGGGGGCAACGCUUGCAGGAAGACUGACGAGUCAGGUCCUGAUAGAAGCCUCUGCUGCAGAAUGUGCACUUCUCAUCCUUAGAGGCAAAGGUCCCGGCUGGGCAGUGGACUGCAUUCGAGCAUAUUAGAGGUGGCCAGGCAACGAUAGCCAGUGUUCUCCUCAUUUGGCAGGCAGUUCACCACCCCAUUGGUCGGUGGCGCCAGCGACCAUGCCACACAGGUUGUUGCCUGCACGGACACCUGAAGCCAACACAUAUAAGAAGCGCAGUUCAGUGGGACGCCCUACAACAUCAUUUGUGACGACGCCCUUGACGAGAAUGGCCUUGAUGUGGAAUAUUUUCUUCAUGUCCACCGUUACAACUGUCGCUCAAGGUAUUGGCCAACCGAUCUUCAAGCACAGAACACCAAGCGAAAGGGACAUAAGUGCAAAACAAUCUCAUGACAAACGGUGCACACAACUUCAUUGUCUGCUUCAGACGCCUGAGAAGCGGAGGGAAAAAAGAAUGUGGUCGAGUGUUGCCACAUGAUUUCCGGCCAUGAACUUCCAUGCUUGCGUUUC